UUUUCCACUCUAGGAAAGUGGGUUAAGGGGCUUCCAAGUGUCUAUGCAUUGCAUAGGCUUUUGCCAAGAAUAAAUAACUUGGGAAAUAAGUGGUGGGUAAGACGGGUCCCAGCCGCCGCGGUAACACCUGCGCCACGAGUGGCAAUCAUGUUUAUUGGGCCUAAAGCGUCCGUAGCCGGUUUAGUAAGUCUUGAGUGAAAUCGUUGCGCUUAACAAAACGACGUGCAGGGGAUACUGCUUGUCUUGGGACCGGGAGGCGUCAAGGGUAUUCCUGAGGGAGCGGUUAAAUGCUAUAAUCUCAGGAGGACCACCUGUGGCGAAGGCGCUUAACGAGAACGGGUCUGACGGUGAGGGACGAAAGCUAGGGGAGCAAACCGGA
RNAcentral lists this ribosomal RNA (379 nucleotides) under uncultured euryarchaeote. RNAcentral describes it as "bacterial SSU rRNA". It matches the Rfam family "Archaeal small subunit ribosomal RNA", at positions 348 to 728 of the family's 1478-position model. The record is from RNAcentral. Lineage: Archaea; Methanobacteriati; Methanobacteriota.